This 253-nucleotide ribosomal RNA is filed under the name uncultured bacterium. RNAcentral's name for it is "partial 16S ribosomal RNA". It matches the Rfam family "Bacterial small subunit ribosomal RNA", at positions 524 to 776 of the family's 1533-position model. The record is from RNAcentral.
UACGGAGGGAGCUAGCGUUGUUCGGAAUUACUGGGCGUAAAGCGUGCGUAGGCGGCUUUGUAAGUUAGAGGUGAAAGCCCGGAGCUCAACUCCGGAAUUGCCUUUAAGACUGCAUCGCUUGAAUCCGGGAGAGGUGAGUGGAACUCCGAGUGUAGAGGUGUAAUUCGUAGAUAUUCGGAAGAACACCAGUGGCGAAGGCGGCUCACUGGCCCGUAACUGACGCUCAGGCGCGAUAGCGUGGGGAUCAAACAGG